This 371-nucleotide long non-coding RNA is filed under the name Gallus gallus (chicken). The record is from RNAcentral. Lineage: Eukaryota; Metazoa; Chordata; Aves; Galliformes; Phasianidae.
CUGGAGAUGAAACACUGAUUGCUUCUGUUGAGUAAUGAAUUGGCAGUGGCUUCAAGCAACAUUCUAAGGCCUUUAUGUCUUCAGGAAAUUUCUCAGGAGGUUUUACAGCUUCACUCUUCAGGGAAUUUCAUGAUGAAAACAGGGCAUCUAGAGGACUUCCAGAUUCUGAAGUUUCCUGCAACUGAAGUUCUGAGCAGCUCUGUUUCUCCUCAGAAGAUCUGUCUGUGUGCAUAUGUCAGCCCAGAAAGAUUGCGGCCCCUCUGUCAGCCCAGGUGUUCUGCUUUGAAAAUAGUUGUUCACAAAAGUACAUACUGCCAGAAAGAGAUGACACAGAUAAGGUGUGAUGGUGAAGCGAGGGAUAUUUUUCUCAG